AGAGUUUGAUCCUGGCUCAGGAUGAACGCUGGCGGCGUGCUUAACACAUGCAAGUCGAACGAAGCACUUUUAUUUGAUUUCUUCGGAAUGAAGAUUUUAGUGACUGAGUGGCGGACGGGUGAGUAACGCGUGGGUAACCUGCCUCAUACAGGGGGAUAACAGUUAGAAAUGACUGCUAAUACCGCAUAAGACCACAGCACCGCAUGGUCUGGUGUGAAAAACUCCGGUGGUAUAAGAUGGACCCGCGUUGGAUUAGCUAGUUGGCAGGGCAGCGGCCUACCAAGGCGACGAUCCGUAGCCGGCCUGAGAGGGUGAACGGCCACAUUGGGACUGAGACACGGCCCAGACUCCUACGGGAGGCAGCAGUGGGGAAUAUUGCACAAUGGGGGAAACCCUGAUGCAGCGACGCCGCGUGAAGGAAGAAGUAUCUCGGUAUGUAAACUUCUAUCAGCAGGGAAGAUAAUGACGGUACCUGACUAAGAAGCCCCGGCUAACUACGUGCCAGCAGCCGCGGUAAUACGUAGGGGGCAAGCGUUAUCCGGAUUUACUGGGUGUAAAGGGAGCGUAGACGGCGCAGCAAGUCUGAUGUGAAAGGCAGGGGCUUAACCCCUGGACUGCAUUGGAAACUGCUGUGCUUGAGUGCCGGAGGGGUAAGCGGAAUUCCUAGUGUAGCGGUGAAAUGCGUAGAUAUUAGGAGGAACACCAGUGGCGAAGGCGGCUCUCUGGACUGUAACUGACACUGAGGCACGAAAGCGUGGGGAGCAAACAGGAUUAGAUACCCUGUAGUCCACGCCGUAAACGAUGAAUACUAACUGUCGGAAGUUACCCCCUUCGGGGGCGCAGUUAACGCAUUAAGUACUCC
Molecule: ribosomal RNA, 862 nt
Filed under: uncultured bacterium
Lineage: Bacteria
Description: bacterial SSU rRNA
Rfam family: Bacterial small subunit ribosomal RNA
Source: RNAcentral